UUAAGUUAGAAAGGGCGCACGGUGGAUGCCUUGACACUAGGAGUCGAUGAAGGACGGGACUAACGCCGAUAUGCUUCGGGGAGCUGUAAGUAAGCUUUGAUCCGAAGAUUUCCGAAUGGGGAAACCCACCAUACGUAAUGGUAUGGUAUCCUUAUCUGAAUACAUAGGGUAAGGAAGACAGACCCAGGGAACUGAAACAUCUAAGUACCUGGAGGAAGAGAAAGCAAAUGCGAUUUCCUGAGUAGCGGCGAGCGAAACGGAACAUAGCCCAAACCAAGAGGCUUGCCUCUUGGGGUUGUAGGACAUUCUAUACGGAGUUACAAAGGAACGAGGUAGACGAAGCGACCUGGAAAGGUCCGUCGUAGAGGGUAACAACCCCGUAGUCGAAACUUCGUUCUCUCUUGAAUGUAUCCUGAGUACGGCGGAACACGUGAAAUUCCGUCGGAAUCUGGGAGGACCAUCUCCCAAGGCUAAAUACUCCCUAGUGAUCGAUAGUGAACCAGUACCGUGAGGGAAAGGUGAAAAGCACCCCGGAAGGGGAGUGAAAGAGAUCCUGAAACCGUGUGCCUACAAAUAGUCAGAGCCCGUUAACGGGUGAUGGCGUGCCUUUUGUAGAAUGAACCGGCGAGUUACGAUCCCGUGCGAGGUUAAGCUGAAGAGGCGGAGCCGCAGCGAAAGCGAGUCUGAAUAGGGCGUUUAGUACGUGGUCGUAGACCCGAAACCAGGUGAUCUACCCAUGUCCAGGGUGAAGUUCAGGUAACACUGAAUGGAGGCCCGAACCCACGCACGUUGAAAAGUGCGGGGAUGAGGUGUGGGUAGCGGAGAAAUUCCAAUCGAACCUGGAGAUAGCUGGUUCUCCCCGAAAUAGCUUUAGGGCUAGCCUUAAGUGUAAGAGUCUUGGAGGUAGAGCACUGAUUGGACUAGGGGUCCUCAUCGGAUUACCGAAUUCAGUCAAACUCCGAAUGCCAAUGACUUAUCCUUAGGAGUCAGACUGCGAGUGAUAAGAUCCGUAGUCAAAAGGGAAACAGCCCAGACCGCCAGCUAAGGUCCCAAAGUGUGUAUUAAGUGGAAAAGGAUGUGGAGUUGCUUAGACAACUAGGAUGUUGGCUUAGAAGCAGCCACCAUUUAAAGAGUGCGUAAUAGCUCACUAGUCGAGUGACUCUGCGCCGAAAAUGUACCGGGGCUAAAUACACCACCGAAGCUGCGGAUUGAUACCGAAUGGUAUCAGUGGUAGGGGAGCGUUCUAAGGACAGUGAAGUCAGACCGGAAGGACUGGUGGAGUGCUUAGAAGUGAGAAUGCCGGUAUGAGUAGCGAAAGACGGGUGAGAAUCCCGUCCACCGAAUGCCUAAGGUUUCCUGAGGAAGGCUCGUCCGCUCAGGGUUAGUCAGGACCUAAGCCGAGGCCGACAGGCGUAGGCGAUGGACAACAGGUUGAUAUUCCUGUACCACCUCUUUAUCGUUUGAGCAAUGGAGGGACGCAGAAGGAUAGAAGAAGCGUGCGAUUGGUUGUGCACGUCCAAGCAGUUAGGCUGAUAAGUAGGCAAAUCCGCUUAUCGUAAAGGCUGAGCUGUGAUGGGGAAGCUCCUUAUGGAGCGAAGUCUUUGAUUCCCCGCUGCCAAGAAAAGCUUCUAGCGAGAUAAAAGGUGCCUGUACCGCAAACCGACACAGGUAGGCGAGGAGAGAAUCCUAAGGUGUGCGAGAGAACUCUGGUUAAGGAACUCGGCAAAAUGACCCCGUAACUUCGGGAGAAGGGGUGCUUUCUUAACGGAAAGCCGCAGUGAAUAGGCCCAAGCGACUGUUUAGCAAAAACACAGCUCUCUGCGAAGCCGUAAGGCGAAGUAUAGGGGGUGACACCUGCCCGGUGCUGGAAGGUUAAGGAGAGGGGUUAGCGUAAGCGAAGCUCUGAACUGAAGCCCCAGUAAACGGCGGCCGUAACUAUAACGGUCCUAAGGUAGCGAAAUUCCUUGUCGGGUAAGUUCCGACCCGCACGAAAGGUGUAACGAUUUGGGCACUGUCUCAACCAGAGACUCGGUGAAAUUAUAGUACCUGUGAAGAUGCAGGUUACCCGCGACAGGACGGAAAGACCCCGUGGAGCUUUACUGUAGCCUGAUAUUGAAUUUUGGUACAGUUUGUACAGGAUAGGCGGGAGCCUUUGAAACCGGAGCGCUAGCUUCGGUGGAGGCGCUGGUGGGAUACCGCCCUGACUGUAUUGAAAUUCUAACCUACGGGUCUUAUCGACCCGGGAGACAGUGUCAGGUGGGCAGUUUGACUGGGGCGGUCGCCUCCUAAAGUGUAACGGAGGCGCCCAAAGGUUCCCUCAGAAUGGUUGGAAAUCAUUCGUAGAGUGCAAAGGCAUAAGGGAGCUUGACUGCGAGACCUACAAGUCGAGCAGGGACGAAAGUCGGGCUUAGUGAUCCGGUGGUUCCGCAUGGAAGGGCCAUCGCUCAACGGAUAAAAGCUACCCCGGGGAUAACAGGCUUAUCUCCCCCAAGAGUCCACAUCGACGGGGAGGUUUGGCACCUCGAUGUCGGCUCAUCGCAUCCUGGGGCUGUAGUCGGUCCCAAGGGUUGGGCUGUUCGCCCAUUAAAGCGGUACGCGAGCUGGGUUCAGAACGUCGUGAGACAGUUCGGUCCCUAUCCGUCGUGGGCGUAGGAAAUUUGAGAGGAGCUGUCCUUAGUACGAGAGGACCGGGAUGGACGCACCGCUGGUGUACCAGUUGUUCUGCCAAGGGCAUAGCUGGGUAGCUAUGUGCGGAAGGGAUAAGUGCUGAAAGCAUCUAAGCAUGAAGCCCCCCUCAAGAUGAGAUUUCCCAUAGCGUAAGCUAGUAAGAUCCCUGAAAGAUGAUCAGGUUGAUAGGUUCGAGGUGGAAGCAUGGUGACAUGUGGAGCUGACGAAUACUAAUAGAUCGAGGACUUAACCAU
Molecule: ribosomal RNA, 2921 nt
Filed under: Zymomonas mobilis
Lineage: Bacteria; Pseudomonadati; Pseudomonadota; Alphaproteobacteria; Sphingomonadales; Zymomonadaceae
Also listed under: 10 other names
Description: bacterial LSU rRNA
Rfam family: Bacterial large subunit ribosomal RNA
Source: RNAcentral